This is a long non-coding RNA of Mauremys mutica (yellowpond turtle), 334 nucleotides long. RefSeq lists it as uncharacterized. The transcript has 3 exons. NCBI's taxonomy places the organism in Eukaryota, Metazoa, Chordata, Testudines, Geoemydidae. The record is from RefSeq and is a predicted model, not a curated record.
CCUGUGCCAUCUUAAAUCUUUGCUUCCUGUUUUCCUUUGCUGAUCAUUGGCCAUCACUCUGUCGCAGAUUCCAUCAUUAUCUUCCUUUCUUCUAUCAGUGGAACUAAGAUGGCUAGUUGCAAGGGUCUUUCUAUGUAGUGCUCACAGGUAGCGCAGAGAAGAGAGGGAGGGCCAGCAGUGUUCCUGAAAGCAAAAAUUGAUAAGGAGGAUCGGAAGCCCACAGGAAGGAAAGAACAGCAUGAGGGCAUCCUUCCUCUUGAACCAAAGUCAUUGAAUUCUCGGAGAUAUAAGCAAGGACAUCAGCCAUCUUUGGCAUCCAUCACUAGACAGACAC